Molecule: long non-coding RNA, 376 nt
Filed under: Manacus vitellinus (golden-collared manakin)
Lineage: Eukaryota; Metazoa; Chordata; Aves; Passeriformes; Pipridae
Description: lncRNA (ENSMVIG00005013919.1)
Source: RNAcentral
GGACAACUCCCAGCAGUGUAAGCAAACCUUCAUAUCACAGGCAAGAUGCUUAGCAGGCUCUGGAAAAAAUGCUGCUGCUUGAUUUGGAAGGGUAAGCACACUGGAGCUCACACACGGCAGCGACAUUACUCCCUGAAGCCACACAAAUCCUCAGGGUCAAGAAUAAAUUCACAGCUUGUAUUGCUUGCCCAUCUGGUUUGGCCCACGAUGUGACUGUUGAUCCAGGAGUUGAAGAGAUGGAGACCAAAAUAAGAAGAAACAAAAGCACAGUUAAGAGUCAGGCAAUUUACAACAUGCUAAGACAUUCCAGUGAAGACUGAGAGAGGCUGCAUUUGCUAUUACUCAAGCACAAAUAAACUAUAGAUUUAAUCCUGCA